UUUUUUUUUUUUUUUUUUUGAGGGGAACACGAAACACUAGUUAUAUUCUAACAGGUUGUGCAUGUCAAAUAAUGUUACAGCAUUCAUGCCUGCUAAAUGAUCAUGGGCCAAUGCAAUAAUGAAGUCUACACUCUACACCAAACAUUAUUUCAUUUUCAAAUGGACCGCACUUGCCUAUGAGUAUUUGGACAAGCAUGAAGAGACAAAGGACACCACAACAAUGCCUAACAAAUUGUGCCAAGAUAAAUUUAGUCAGGAUCAACAAGGAAGCCAAAGACUAGUUGAGUACUAAUUUAAGUAAUCUGGCAAAAAAAGCAAUGUCAAAUCCCAACUAGCACAUAGGCGUAGCAUAUCAUUAGCAAAGUUAACUUCCCAUUCAUCUGUAACAAUAACACCCCCCACCAACCCCCCUCUAAAAAAAAAAAAA
Molecule: unclassified non-coding RNA, 427 nt
Filed under: Hevea brasiliensis (rubber tree)
Lineage: Eukaryota; Viridiplantae; Streptophyta; Magnoliopsida; Malpighiales; Euphorbiaceae
Source: RNAcentral